GCUAGCUACAGGCUUAACACAUGCAAGUCGAGGGGCAGCAUGGUCUUAGCUUGCUAAGGCCGAUGGCGACCGGCGCACGGGUGAGUAACACGUAUCCAACCUGCCGUCUACUCUUGGACAGCCUUCUGAAAGGAAGAUUAAUACAAGAUGGCAUCAUGAGUCCGCAUGUUCACAUGAUUAAAGGUAUUCCGGUAGACGAUGGGGAUGCGUUCCAUUAGAUAGUAGGCGGGGUAACGGCCCACCUAGUCUUCGAUGGAUAGGGGUUCUGAGAGGAAGGUCCCCCACAUUGGAACUGAGACACGGUCCAAACUCCUACGGGAGGCAGCAGUGAGGAAUAUUGGUCAAUGGGCGAGAGCCUGAACCAGCCAAGUAGCGUGAAGGAUGACUGCCCUAUGGGUUGUAAACUUCUUUUAUAAAGGAAUAAAGUCGGGUAUGGAUACCCGUUUGCAUGUACUUUAUGAAUAAGGAUCGGCUAACUCCGUGCCAGCAGCCGCGGUAAUACGGAGGAUCCGAGCGUUAUCCGGAUUUAUUGGGUUUAAAGGGAGCGUAGAUGGAUGUUUAAGUCGGUUGUGAAAGUUUGCGGCUCAACCGUAAAAUUGCAGUUGAUACUGGAUAUCUUGAGUGCAGUUGAGGCAGGCGGAAUUCGUGGUGUAGCGGUGAAAUGCUUAGAUAUCACGAAGAACUCCGAUUGCGAAGGCAGCCUGCUAAGCUGCAACUGACAUUGAGGCUCGAAAGUGUGGGUAUCAAACAGGAUUAGAUACCCUGGUAGUCCACACGGUAAACGAUGAAUACUCGCUGUUUGCGAUAUACUGCAAGCGGCCAAGCGAAAGCGUUAAGUAUUCCACCUGGGGAGUACGCCGGCAACGGUGAAACUCAAAGGAAUUGACGGGGGCCCGCACAAGCGGAGGAACAUGUGGUUUAAUUCGAUGAUACGCGAGGAACCUUACCCGGGCUUAAAUUGCAGAUGAAUUACGGUGAAAGCCGUAAGCCGCAAGGCAUCUGUGAAGGUGCUGCAUGGUUGUCGUCAGCUCGUGCCGUGAGGUGUCGGCUUAAGUGCCAUAACGAGCGCAACCCUUGUUGUCAGUUACUAACAGGUUCCGCUGAGGACUCUGACAAGACUGCCAUCGUAAGAUGUGAGGAAGGUGGGGAUGACGUCAAAUCAGCACGGCCCUUACGUCCGGGGCUACACACGUGUUACAAUGGGGGGUACAGAGGGCCGCUACCACGCGAGUGGAUGCCAAUCCCCAAAACCUCUCUCAGUUCGGACUGGAGUCUGCAACCCGACUCCACGAAGCUGGAUUCGCUAGUAAUCGCGCAUCAGCCACGGCGCGGUGAAUACGUUCCCGGGCCUUGUACACACCGCCCGUCAAGCCAUGGGAGCCGGGGGUACCUGAAGUGCGUAACCGCAAGGAGCGCCCUAGGGUAAAACUGGUGACU
Molecule: ribosomal RNA, 1437 nt
Filed under: uncultured organism
Description: SSU rRNA
Rfam family: Bacterial small subunit ribosomal RNA
Source: RNAcentral